UUUUCAAUUUAUAGGGUGUACAGGAACAGAAUGUCCUGUGUCAUGGAGCACCUGCUGAAGGACAUCCAAGAACUGGAUUGCAUGACAAAACAGGAAGUACAAAUGAAACAUAUCUGUAUGAUUGCUACUUUUCCAGAGAAGAGCUGAAGUGCAAAGCAGGUGUUCGUGGUAUGGCAGCAGAAGUUGAACCUUCCUACCAAGAUUUCCUUACAUUUUGUUGCUGUGUAACAGAUGGCAGAAGAGGAGCAGUCUGAGAAAAUGGCAUUUGAUGUAGAAGUAAAACUCAUUUUUAGCAUUUGAGGAAGUAGAAUGCAGAAGCCCACUGUAUUUUGCUGGAUUUUGUAAAGG
This is a long non-coding RNA of Tympanuchus pallidicinctus (lesser prairie-chicken), 348 nucleotides long. RefSeq lists it as uncharacterized. The transcript has 4 exons. NCBI's taxonomy places the organism in Eukaryota, Metazoa, Chordata, Aves, Galliformes, Phasianidae. The record is from RefSeq and is a predicted model, not a curated record.